Mustela putorius furo (domestic ferret) is the source of this 1790-nucleotide long non-coding RNA. The record is from Ensembl. Lineage: Eukaryota; Metazoa; Chordata; Mammalia; Carnivora; Mustelidae.
CUGGGAAUCUCCUGAUGAUAUUCUGGGCAUUGGUGGCUUCUAGUUGGUUGAAUUCAUCAACAAGAACUGAGGCACCAUGGGGAUGGGGAUGGGGACGUGGGCCUCAGGCAGCAUCUGAAGGGCACCCUGAGGGUUCUGGUUGCCAGGGAAACCCCAGCAGCUGGAGCUGUGAGCUCACAGGCCGCCAGGCACUUCACUAGGGCUCACGCUCCAGGGCAGAAGGUCUCAAAUAAGAAAUAGGAGGUCAACAUGUGAUUAUAAAAUAGAAGGUGUUUUGAGUCUUCUUCAAAGCACCAUCCUGAAAUCUGAAGUCAUGACCUUCCUAUUACUUUUUGCAUUAACAUUACCUUGCUUUUAUGAAAUACUGAUGAUGGUAAAGGAGCUGGGGCAUUUUCAUAAACACCCUUUUACAAGGUCAAAGACUUAGUGCCCCUGUGAUGGCCCCUCCACUUAUUUUCUCUCUUACCCCCUUCUGUUCUCUUUCUCCCUCUUUCUCUCUCCUUUUUCUCACUCCCCUUCCCUCUCUCUCCUCUCUGCUCUCUCUCCUAAAACCUGAAAGUCUUGGGAUGGAAGGAAACAUUGUGAAAACCAAGUUCACUGACCUGGUGUGAGAGUUAGGGCUGGUGACCCCCUGUACCUGGCACAGUGAGGUCACACAGAAGGACGUGGUUACCUUUACCUGGGGACACUUCACAAAGGAGAUGAUGUCUGAGCUGAGUCUUGAAAACUCAGGGGCUGAUGGCCAGGGCCAGAUGGUUGGUGGGGUAGGGGAUGAGGGAUGGGAGCAGAGACAUGACAGGAGGACAUACCGGAGAGCACCUGUUGGAGAUGUCGCUAUCAGAGUGUCUUAUCCAAGAGGGGCUGUGACAGGCCAUGAAACGAGCCAUCGCUGGAAACCAUGUAAUAGCAGACCUUGAGGGGCAAGCUAAGACCCAUGGAUUCCAGUCUCUGAAAUGAUGUCUUCAGCAUCAAACGUUAACUGCCUAGGAUUUGAGAUUCCAAAGAGAACAGAGGCAGGAGGGCGAGGUGGGGGGCCACCUGCCAGUGGGGCAGACACCAUUCCAGAGGAACAAGGAAUCUCCCUUCAGAAGCUCCUUGUGCAGGAUGGAAGCAGGCCUUCUCCAGACCACAGAGGGGUUGGAUUCCCCAAAGUGACAAGAGACCUGUUGUCAUGCACAGGCUUCUGGAACUCCACAGCCGGGAAGAGAUUAUUUAUUCCUCCAGCUCUUCCUUACUUCCUCUCCCUGCGGCAUCCAGCAAGCCUGGGCUUCACUGCCUGAAAAGGACAACAGCAGCCGCGGGUGGGUCUGGAUUCUUCUCUGGUGAGGCCCUGGAAUCCUCGUUGGAUUGUUCUCUGCCAGAUAUUUGCUUCUUCAUUUGGUGUCCUCCCUAAUUAUUAAAACACAACAAAACAGAGAAGCCAACCAAAACUUCUCCGGCUCUGCGGCGGUCCCUGCCCAGCACAGUCUCUGGCAGGUUAUCUGUGAGGUCUCUGCAGGAGGCCUUGGGGCCUCCAAGCUGCUCUGCUAUGGCCAUGGGUCACGGGCAACGGAUCGCGGACGACAGACCAUGGGUGUGGGCACGGCCAACCUGCUGGGGCAACCGGGAAACAGGACACUUGCGGGUCCCUCACUCACCCCUCUGGCUCGCUCAGACAGGGCCCAGAGAUGUUGUUUUCUUGGCCACGAUCUGGUCUCUGUGCCUGGGAUAAUAGAUUACAAAUGGGAAAAGGCUGUUUCACUCGUAGCUAUUUACUAAAAAUGAAGUGAUGUUUCAGGUCCAUUUUUCAC